UCCAGAUCCAUUGGAAUAACAGCAGC
This 26-nucleotide non-coding RNA is filed under the name Mus musculus (house mouse). Lineage: Eukaryota; Metazoa; Chordata; Mammalia; Rodentia; Muridae. The record is from RNAcentral. RNAcentral also lists the same sequence under 1 other name.